This 2984-nucleotide ribosomal RNA is filed under the name Salmonella enterica. RNAcentral describes it as "Bacterial large subunit ribosomal RNA". It matches the Rfam family "Bacterial large subunit ribosomal RNA". Lineage: Bacteria; Pseudomonadati; Pseudomonadota; Gammaproteobacteria; Enterobacterales; Enterobacteriaceae. The record is from RNAcentral.
GUUAAGCGACUAAGCGUACACGGUGGAUGCCCUGGCAGUCAGAGGCGAUGAAGGGCGUGCUAAUCUGCGAUAAGCGCCGGUAAGGUGAUAUGAACCGUUAUAACCGGCGAUACCCGAAUGGGGAAACCCAGUGUGAUUCGUCACACUAUCAUUAACUGAAUCCAUAGGUUAAUGAGGCGAACCGGGGGAACUGAAACAUCUAAGUACCCCGAGGAAAAGAAAUCAACCGAGAUUCCCCCAGUAGCGGCGAGCGAACGGGGAGGAGCCCAGAGCCUGAAUCAGCAUGUGUGUUAGUGGAAGCGUCUGGAAAGGCGCGCGAUACAGGGUGACAGCCCCGUACACAAAAGCGCAUGUGCUGUGAGCUCGAUGAGUAGGGCGGGACACGUGGUAUCCUGUCUGAAUAUGGGGGGACCAUCCUCCAAGGCUAAAUACUCCUGACUGACCGAUAGUGAACCAGUACCGUGAGGGAAAGGCGAAAAGAACCCCGGCGAGGGGAGUGAAAAAGAACCUGAAACCGUGUACGUACAAGCAGUGGGAGCACAGGUUUACCUGUGUGACUGCGUACCUUUUGUAUAAUGGGUCAGCGACUUAUAUUCUGUAGCAAGGUUAACCGAAUAGGGGAGCCGGAGGGAAACCGAGUCUUAAUUGGGCGUUAAGUUGCAGGGUAUAGACCCGAAACCCGGUGAUCUAGCCAUGGGCAGGUUGAAGGUUGGGUAACACUAACUGGAGGACCGAACCGACUAAUGUUGAAAAAUUAGCGGAUGACCUGUGGCUGGGGGUGAAAGGCCAAUCAAACCGGGAGAUAGCUGGUUCUCCCCGAAAGCUAUUUAGGUAGCGCCUCGUGAAUUCAUCUCCGGGGGUAGAGCACUGUUUCGGCUAGGGGGCCAUCCCGGCUUACCAACCCGAUGCAAACUGCGAAUACCGGAGAAUGUUAUCACGGGAGACACACGGCGGGUGCUAACGUCCGUCGUGAAGAGGGAAACAACCCAGACCGCCAGCUAAGGUCCCAAAGUCAUGGUUAAGUGGGAAACGAUGUGGGAAGGCCCAGACAGCCAGGAUGUUGGCUUAGAAGCAGCCAUCAUUUAAAGAAAGCGUAAUAGCUCACUGGUCGAGUCGGCCUGCGCGGAAGAUGUAACGGGGCUAAACCAUGCACCGAAGCUGCGGCAGCGAACGUAUCACUUAAAGCGAUUCAGCGGGUUACGAUUGACGGAGCGAAGCGACGUCAAAGCGUAUACAAAGUCGAGUCGGUUUAAGGAUACGUUCGUUGGGUAGGGGAGCGUUCUGUAAGCCUGUGAAGGUGGCCUGUGAGGGUUGCUGGAGGUAUCAGAAGUGCGAAUGCUGACAUAAGUAACGAUAAAGCGGGUGAAAAGCCCGCUCGCCGGAAGACCAAGGGUUCCUGUCCAACGUUAAUCGGGGCAGGGUGAGUCGACCCCUAAGGCGAGGCCGAAAGGCGUAGUCGAUGGGAAACAGGUUAAUAUUCCUGUACUUGGUGUUACUGCGAAGGGGGGACGGAGAAGGCUAUGUUGGCCGGGCGACGGUUGUCCCGGUUUAAGCGUGUAGGCUGGUUUUCCAGGCAAAUCCGGAAAAUCAAGGCUGAGGCGUGAUGACGAGGCACUACGGUGCUGAAGCAACAAAUGCCCUGCUUCCAGGAAAAGCCUCUAAGCAUCAGGUAACAUCAAAUCGUACCCCAAACCGACACAGGUGGUCAGGUAGAGAAUACCAAGGCGCUUGAGAGAACUCGGGUGAAGGAACUAGGCAAAAUGGUGCCGUAACUUCGGGAGAAGGCACGCUGACACGUAGGUGAAGUGAUUUACUCAUGGAGCUGAAGUCAGUCGAAGAUACCAGCUGGCUGCAACUGUUUAUUAAAAACACAGCACUGUGCAAACACGAAAGUGGACGUAUACGGUGUGACGCCUGCCCGGUGCCGGAAGGUUAAUUGAUGGGGUCAGCGCAAGCGAAGCUCCUGAUCGAAGCCCCGGUAAACGGCGGCCGUAACUAUAACGGUCCUAAGGUAGCGAAAUUCCUUGUCGGGUAAGUUCCGACCUGCACGAAUGGCGUAAUGAUGGCCAGGCUGUCUCCACCCGAGACUCAGUGAAAUUGAACUCGCUGUGAAGAUGCAGUGUACCCGCGGCAAGACGGAAAGACCCCGUGAACCUUUACUAUAGCUUGACACUGAACAUUGAGCCUUGAUGUGUAGGAUAGGUGGGAGGCUUUGAAGUGUGGACGCCAGUCUGCAUGGAGCCGACCUUGAAAUACCACCCUUUAAUGUUUGAUGUUCUAACGUGGACCCGUGAUCCGGGUUGCGGACAGUGUCUGGUGGGUAGUUUGACUGGGGCGGUCUCCUCCUAAAGAGUAACGGAGGAGCACGAAGGUUGGCUAAUCCUGGUCGGACAUCAGGAGGUUAGUGCAAUGGCAUAAGCCAGCUUGACUGCGAGCGUGACGGCGCGAGCAGGUGCGAAAGCAGGUCAUAGUGAUCCGGUGGUUCUGAAUGGAAGGGCCAUCGCUCAACGGAUAAAAGGUACUCCGGGGAUAACAGGCUGAUACCGCCCAAGAGUUCAUAUCGACGGCGGUGUUUGGCACCUCGAUGUCGGCUCAUCACAUCCUGGGGCUGAAGUAGGUCCCAAGGGUAUGGCUGUUCGCCAUUUAAAGUGGUACGCGAGCUGGGUUUAGAACGUCGUGAGACAGUUCGGUCCCUAUCUGCCGUGGGCGCUGGAGAACUGAGGGGGGCUGCUCCUAGUACGAGAGGACCGGAGUGGACGCAUCACUGGUGUUCGGGUUGUCAUGCCAAUGGCACUGCCCGGUAGCUAAAUGCGGAAGAGAUAAGUGCUGAAAGCAUCUAAGCACGAAACUUGCCCCGAGAUGAGUUCUCCCUGAGACUUAGAGUCUCCUGAAGGAACGUUGAAGACGACGACGUUGAUAGGCCGGGUGUGUAAGCGCAGCGAUGCGUUGAGCUAACCGGUACUAAUGAACCGUGAGGCUUAACC